This 573-nucleotide ribosomal RNA is filed under the name Penicillium sp. N8. Its description in RNAcentral is "eukaryotic LSU rRNA". The stretch from base 204 to 356 matches the Rfam family "5.8S ribosomal RNA". Lineage: Eukaryota; Fungi; Ascomycota; Eurotiomycetes; Eurotiales; Aspergillaceae. The record is from RNAcentral.
CGUAGGUGACCUGCGGAAGGAUCAUUACCGAGUGAGGGCCCUCUGGGUCCAACCUCCCACCCGUGUUUAUUUUACCUUGUUGCUUCGGCGGGCCCGCCUUAACUGGCCGCCGGGGGGCUUACGCCCCCGGGCCCGCGCCCGCCGAAGACACCCUCGAACUCUGUCUGAAGAUUGAAGUCUGAGUGAAAAUAUAAAUUAUUUAAAACUUUCAACAACGGAUCUCUUGGUUCCGGCAUCGAUGAAGAACGCAGCGAAAUGCGAUACGUAAUGUGAAUUGCAAAUUCAGUGAAUCAUCGAGUCUUUGAACGCACAUUGCGCCCCCUGGUAUUCCGGGGGGCAUGCCUGUCCGAGCGUCAUUGCUGCCCUCAAGCCCGGCUUGUGUGUUGGGCCCCGUCCCCCGAUCUCCGGGGGACGGGCCCGAAAGGCAGCGGCGGCACCGCGUCCGGUCCUCGAGCGUAUGGGGCUUUGUCACCCGCUCUGUAGGCCCGGCCGGCGCUUGCCGAUCAACCCAAAUUUUUAUCCAGGUUGACCUCGGAUCAGGUAGGGAUACCCGCUGAACUUAAGCAUAUCAAA